Molecule: ribosomal RNA, 468 nt
Filed under: uncultured bacterium
Lineage: Bacteria
Description: partial 16S ribosomal RNA
Rfam family: Bacterial small subunit ribosomal RNA
Source: RNAcentral
GACGAACGCUGGCGGCGUGCUUAACACAUGCAAGUCGAACGGAAAGGCCCUGCUUUUGUGGGGUGCUCGAGUGGCGAACGGGUGCGUAACACGUGAGUAACCUGCCCUUGACUUUGGGAUAACUUCAGGAAACUGGGGCUAAUACCGGAUAGGAGCUCCUGCUGCAUGGUGGGGGUUGGAAAGUUUCGGCGGUUGGGGAUGGACUCGCGGCUUAUCAGCUUGUUGGUGGGGUAGUGGCUUACCAAGGCUUUGACGGGUAGCCGGCCUGAGAGGGUGACCGGCCACAUUGGGACUGAGAUACGGCCCAGACUCCUACGGGAGGCAGCAGUGGGGAAUAUUGCACAAUGGGCGGAAGCCUGAUGCAGCAACGCCGCGUGCGGGAUGACGGCCUUCGGGGUGUAAACCGCUUUCGCCUGUGACGAAGCGUGAGUGACGGUAAUGGGUAAAGAAGCACCGGCUAACUACGUG